UGAAAAGGCAUCAAGACCCCAAACGCGCCUUCCUCCAAAAAUCACUAACUCGGCCACAAGAACUGCAACUCGAGAGAAGAAAAUGGACAACAUUUAAAAGAAGAUGGGAGCGGAAUGCAGCAAAAGGCUACUACCACCACACCACUGAAGGAAAGCUGGCAAAAGGAGACUGAAAAACAGGGAAGCAGGAGGAGGAGGGGUUGCUGUUGAUUCUGCCCUCCCUCUCUCCUCACCCUCCUCUGCAUCGCCUCUUCCCUCCUCCUCCCUUCCUCCUCCGCUCCAUCCUCAGCAGACUGCCCUUUUUUCCUGUACAGCGAGACGCAGCCCGCGCCACCAUCUUAGAGCAACGCUGGCAUGAAAUGGAAGUGGGAAGACCAGUCAGUGCAGCAGAAUGUUGUCGGUGCAGGGGGAUCCGAAACGGCUGGAGCACACAACGAAGGAAUAACAGGACAACUCCUUCAGCAGCCGUUUGCCGCCUUCCAGCGUGGACUAAACAAGGAUGACGACGCGGAUGUCUGUCAGUGGCGGCAAAUUCCUGCCGUGACUUUGGAACAUCGCCACACUAUUGAUGCUGCUGUGUGAUGCAUUAUUUGCCCCAACAGUCAAGCUGGACUGUUUGUGAACGUGUUGGUUCACGGUGGACUGUGACUGUGGGAAACAAGGCUCAGAGAGAAGAUUAGCAGCUUGAGGUGUGGACAAACUGGUCCAUAAUUGUGACUCUUGCUUUUGUAUUUUGAGGGUGUGGCACUCUAUUUUGUAAUACUUAUAUAUUUAUACAUACAUUUAUACACAUUUGCCUAUAAACAACAGUACUUAGACAUGAGUUAGGAUCAACUAACAUAGGCCUGACUUACUGUAGGACAUAUUUGAUGAGUUGUAGCCCACAUUUAGUUCGAUUUCUGUUUUGUCAUAGUUGCUAGGACUCAAAGACACGUGAA
Molecule: long non-coding RNA, 938 nt
Organism: Micropterus dolomieu (smallmouth bass)
Lineage: Eukaryota; Metazoa; Chordata; Actinopteri; Centrarchiformes; Centrarchidae
Exons: 3
Source: RefSeq, a predicted model, not a curated record